GGCAGUGUAGCCUAGCGGGUAAGGAACUGGUCUCGUAACCUAAAGGUCGCAGGUUCGAUUCCCGGGUAAGGACACUGUCG
RNAcentral lists this transfer RNA (80 nucleotides) under Anguilla anguilla (European eel). Its description in RNAcentral is "tRNA-OTHER". The record is from RNAcentral. Lineage: Eukaryota; Metazoa; Chordata; Actinopteri; Anguilliformes; Anguillidae.